Molecule: ribosomal RNA, 495 nt
Filed under: uncultured bacterium
Lineage: Bacteria
Description: partial 16S ribosomal RNA
Rfam family: Bacterial small subunit ribosomal RNA
Source: RNAcentral
GAUGAACGCUGGCGGCGUGCCUAAUACAUGCAAGUAGAACGCUGAAGGAGGAGCUUGCUCUUCUGGAUGAGUUGCGAACGGGUGAGUAACGCGUAGGUAACCUGCCUGGUAGCGGGGGAUAACUAUUGGAAACGAUAGCUAAUACCGCAUGACAACAGCUAUUGCAUGAUAACUGUUUAAAAGGGGCAACUGCUCCACUGCCAGAUGGACCUGCGUUGUAUUAGCUAGUUGGUGAGGUAACGGCUCACCAAGGCGACGAUACAUAGCCGACCUGAGAGGGGGAUCGGCCACACUGGGACUGAGACACGGCCCAGACUCCUACGGGAGGCAGCAGUAGGGAAUCUUCGGCAAUGGACGGAAGUCUGACCGAGCAACGCCGCGUGAGUGAAGAAGGUUUUCGGAUCGUAAAGCUCUGUUGUAAGAGAAGAACGAGUGUGAGAGUGGAAAGUUCACACUGUGACGGUAUCUUACCAGAAAGGGACGGCUAACUACGUG